AGAGUUUGAUCCUGGCUUAGGAUGAACGCUAGCUACAGGCUUAACACAUGCAAGUCGAGGGCAGCGAGAGGAAGCUUGCUUCCUGUCGGCGACCGGCGCACGGGUGAGUAACGCGUAUCCAACCUUCCCCAUACUAGAGGAUAGCCCGGCGAAAGUCGGGUUAAUACUCUAUGUUGUAUUUCGAGGACAUCUGAAUAAUACCAAAGGUUUACCGGUAUGGGAUGGGGGAUGCGUCUGAUUAGCUUGUCGGCGGGGUAACGGCCCACCGAGGCGACGAUCAGUAGGGGUUCUGAGAGGAAGGUCCCCCACAUUGGUACUGAGACACGGACCAAACUCCUACGGGAGGCAGCAGUGAGGAAUAUUGGUCAAUGGGCGCGAGCCUGAACCAGCCAAGUAGCCGUGCAGGAUGACUGCCCUAUGGGUUGUAAACUGCUUUUAUAGGGGAAUAAAGUGAGGUACGUAUACCUUUUUGUAUGUACCCUAUGAAUAAGGACCGGCUAAUUCCGUGCCAGCCGCCGC
RNAcentral lists this ribosomal RNA (519 nucleotides) under uncultured bacterium. RNAcentral's name for it is "bacterial SSU rRNA". It matches the Rfam family "Bacterial small subunit ribosomal RNA", at positions 8 to 518 of the family's 1533-position model. The record is from RNAcentral.